Molecule: long non-coding RNA, 317 nt
Organism: Asparagus officinalis (garden asparagus)
Lineage: Eukaryota; Viridiplantae; Streptophyta; Magnoliopsida; Asparagales; Asparagaceae
Exons: 2
Source: RefSeq, a predicted model, not a curated record
CCAGCAUUCUGGGGAAGAUGGGAUCUUUGGAUUUCUUGAUGGAAUGAGAAAACCAAACCAAAAACUGAACCUCCAUCAUCAUUACAAUGAGGGACUUUGCUUGUUUCGGUGAAAGUAGAGUUCAAAUUGCUGAUGCCUCCUCCUCAUCUUCUUCCUCUUCAUCUAAAAAUGCUCAGAAUCAAGUGACUUGCAUCUAUCAGAGCCAACUCGGGUCUCGUUCUUGCAUAAUCACCAUAACAUGGACCAAGAACUUGGUGGGGCAAGGCCUCAGCAUCUCAAUAGACGAUUCCACAAACCAGUCCCUCGGCAAAUUGGAA